Long non-coding RNA from Dromaius novaehollandiae (emu), 1867 nucleotides. The record is from Ensembl. Lineage: Eukaryota; Metazoa; Chordata; Aves; Casuariiformes; Dromaiidae.
UCUCUGAUUCGCUGUUGGAGCACUGGGAAUCAGGAAUCUGGACACAGUUCCUGCCUCUGCUAGGGACUUCUCUCCCCCCUAAAAAGGGUCUCCGUGCUCCACGACUGGGUUACCUUCUGUGCAAGAUGGGAUCCUGCUCAUGUAACCUAAUGUCGCAAACUUGAUGGUGGGAUUUUGAGAUUAUCAAGGCCGCUGAGAUGAGAACACAUGUUUUUCCUACUGCAUUAAGCGUUUUGAAUGUAUGCUAAAAAUGUUAAUACGUUAUUCAAGGGACUGGAAUUUUUCUUUCAGCUUUGCCCUGGAGUCAGAGCUGCAGCAAGGCUGGGGCGAGAGGGACAUCUGUCCGCUGAGGAAGGCCCCAAAUGCGUGCAAAUACGCCAGACCCCCCCAGCCGCUGUGGUGACCUGGAAAAACAGCCUGGAGAUUUACAGUGAGCAGGAGGUGACGGCAGCAAUGGGAAGGAGCCCAAAAAGGAGGCGACAGAGUGCCCUGGGCACCCAGCGGGCACCAGGAAUAAAACCUCUGCAAAUAGAAAGGGCCGGUGGGGCCCCGUCACCAUGGCAUGAAGUGGCAAGGAGGCUCCCCGGGGGGCCGGGAAGGUCCCGGGGCGGCACAGACCCUGCCGCACAGCCUGGCAGCUGCACCAAGGCUGUGCGGGAGGGCGGAUGGGCACCACGAGCCAGGCGCCGUGCUGCCUGCCGGCCAUCGGGUGCACAAAUCCCAGAGCCCAUUUGGAGACUUUUGGUAUUUCUCCCCUUUCUGGCUUUAUCACGUAUGGUCAUUUCAUUUGUAUUGCAAAAAAUUCUUGUAUUGGCUUGUCCUCAUCCUGAAUCUGCAGUGAGCCAUCAGACCGAGUUUUCCUCCUGAAGGGUACCCACAGCUAGACACUGGUGUUUUGCAGUAUCAUUUGAACAAGGGUCAGGUUUCUCUUUGGAUUUCUAAACUCCAGUUUAACUCCAGUUGACCUGCAGGAGGGCCGAUAGCAGAGCCGCCCUCCAGGUAGCUGAGCUCAGCGUGCAGGCGCAGGAUGUCUUGCUGGCUCUUGGCAGAGUCUUUGCUGCACAUCCACCGGCAGCGUUGCAGGGGCACAGAGCACGCUACCAGCGCCGGCGUGCAGUGCUGGGGAAAAAAUCCCACGUGCAGAGAAGUGGAAACCGCGUGGCUCUGCAGAAGGAAGUGGGGAAGAAUUUUGGGGGCAUCACCAGGCUGAGCAGGACCCUGUGAGCAUUUCCGAACCAUGCUGUGCACUGCAGAGCUCAGUGACUUGAAUGGGACAUGCGUGUGCUCAGUCUGCUCUGCCAUCCUCAGCACCUGGCAGGAUUGUGCCCAUAUUUUGACUCCUAAACAUGGCCUCAGUGUGGCCUGGCGUCGAUGUCAGCCCUUGCAGCAAGCAGAGCAUGUGGUUCAGCCUGUCUGCUUGCAGCUUGCUUUUUUCCAUCCUCUCGCGGUUCUAUCACUACCAUAAAAUGCAGGUCUGACCUUUUUGUCCUCAGCAAGCUAUUCAUUUAAAAUACAAACACUGUCCUCAAACAGCAGUCAUUAAUACGGGGCAGCAAAUUCUUUUCUUUGUUCUUUAUUGUUGAUUUCCCCCAUUGGGGAACUGGGUGGCAGGAGAACUGCAUAGCUGCAGGAGCACAUUGCUAAUUGCGUACUUUGAAAUACUAAUUUGAAUGCGUUGGUUUGGUCACAGAGGGAAAAAGAAACAAGCCAGGGGGUGAUAAAAAAAUGUCAAGGUUAUAGACCUCACAGAAGCGCUUUGGCCUGGAAUUUUUAUUAAUUCUUUAAUUGCAAAUUCCAGGGCAAUGGCCACACAUCCCAUACCUCCCGCAGAGCGCCAGGUAGCACACUGCGAUUCGCCCUGUAGACC